Long non-coding RNA from Bombyx mori (domestic silkworm), 354 nucleotides. RefSeq lists it as uncharacterized. The transcript is spliced from 2 exons. The record is from RefSeq and is a predicted model, not a curated record. Lineage: Eukaryota; Metazoa; Arthropoda; Insecta; Lepidoptera; Bombycidae.
ACGAUGCUACGAAUAGUAUUUUUUGAAAAAAUAAAAGUUUCGUUGUUAAACAAAAUAUAUUCAUUAGAUUUCGCCAUACCAUCCCACGUAUACUUAUGUAUAUUUCUGAAGUUUAUUUUUCAAGUAAACUAUCAUCUAUAGAGGACCGUGUAAAGCGAUCGUAUUAAGUUACAGUCCGCGAUGAUUUAUGAGGAGAACUGAGCCGACAUCUGUAGGUACCAUUUAUGGGAAAUCCAACCUUUACGGACACCGCGGUAGUAUGUUCGAUUCUAUAUAAAUGAAAUAUGGACAACAAUAGCACUUUAACGGGAAAUGAAAUUGUUUUAUUGUAUAUAUUUUCUACGAUUUUCGCAA